Triticum aestivum (bread wheat) is the source of this 2581-nucleotide long non-coding RNA. RefSeq lists it as uncharacterized. The transcript is spliced from 8 exons. The record is from RefSeq and is a predicted model, not a curated record. NCBI's taxonomy places the organism in Eukaryota, Viridiplantae, Streptophyta, Magnoliopsida, Poales, Poaceae.
CUCUCUCUUUUCCCACUCUCCCCCGACUCCCUCUCACUUCCUCCCGCCCCUCAUGCCGCUCGCGCCGCCGCAUCCCCUUCGAUCUUGCGUCACCGCAUCCCCGUGGAGCUCGCGCCGCAGCAUCCCCGUGGAGCUCGCACCGCCGCAUCCUCGUCGAGCUCACGCCGCCGCAUCCCCGUCGAGCUCGAGCGUCACGCCUCGGGGGGAGAGGAUGCCCACGCUGCUGUUCCCGGCAAAGCGCGCCGUCGCGCCAUCGACGGGAGGAGGUCAGGCGGAGCGUGUCGUAGCCCACGCUGUUGUUCCCGGCAGUGCCCACCGUCGCCAUCGACGGGAGGAGUCUAGGCGGAGCGUGCUGUCAUUGCCGCCACUCAUUCGUGCCUCCUCCUGCGUCUUCCCGUGCUCGCUCACCCCCCUUCCCAGCCGCCACUCGCCUCCCCCCUUCCCUGGACGCCUUGAGGUGCUGGCCGAGGUCGCCCGGGUCGAGAUUGAUGGCGGCUGGGCGUUCAAUCCGUGAUCCACAUGUCAGUGCUGCCACAACCUGGUUUUUCCCCAUCACGCCGCCUGGUGCAGCAUGUGUGCGGCAGCCGGGAUGGACGAUCACAUGCAGAGUUUGGCAGGCAAUACGUGCAUCAGACCAGUGGCUGAUGGCAAGAAGGAAUAGAAAACAACUUCACAUCUGCCACACAAUUAAUUCAUCUCACAUCAUUGGCUUAGUUCAGUCAGAGAUUGCCUCUAUAGAUAAUCUCCCAAUGCAUUAGUACAAUUCAUAUUGCAAGGGUGACAGGGCAGGACAGUACAAUGAGGGUCGAAUUAUAUCUUCACAGAUCAUUAGAUCUUUAGGUUCACGACACCGUCGUCCUCGCAUAGAGAAGAAAGCCACCCCAACCGCUUGCUCCUCAACGCUGGUCAAUUAUAAACAUCAGGCUGGUUUUAUCUGUUAUUUCUGUUCUUUCUCGAAGAGGUUGCCAUGCAUGGUUGAUGGAUUGAACUCCAAGGAUUUUGUUUAAUUUCUCUCUACCUUCAACACCAGCAAAAGAUUGAGUGUAAUGCUCGGUCAUGUUUGAAUUUAAAUAUGUCCUUUUCCAUUUUCAAACUGACUAUAUUAUUGAGUAUUGAUACUUUUGAUUUUGUUUUAUGAUUCAUGGCAACGUGAAAGUUACCAACGACCUGGUAGAGGUUCUUAUUUCUUACAAACCUGUAUUUGAGUGUGUAGUACCUUCACUUGCAAUUGCACUUCUCUAACAAUAACAUACAUGACUGUUUCCUUAGUUCUUCUUCAAAUUAUCGAUAUCCUUCCAUAAAAAACACAGCAGGUCAGCAUAAAUACUUCUCCGAAGGAGAACCAAGUCAAUGAGAUGACUUGGAAUCUCUUGGAUAUGUUAUUAUGCACUUCCUACAGGGUUUGUUGGUUUAUUUUCUGGAUUCUUAUUGUGUGCCACAUAAGAUAUAUUAAUGAAUCAGAUGUAACAUUGUUUUCUUUUGAGCUUUCCUUGGCAAGGUCUGAAAGCAAAGAAGCAAAAGCAUGCGGCCAUGCAGACUCUACAAGAGGCAUCUCGCCGAGGUGUGCCAGUACAGAAAGAUGGCCAUGUCGGUGGGGCGUAUGAUGCUUGUUUCAGAUGAUCACAACAAGUUGCUUGCUCUUAUCAGAGCUGAAAAAAGAAAUGUCCGUGGCACUUUGACUUUGAUCGCUUUCUCGACGAGUCCACGCCGGCCACGGCGCACCCUCUGGAGCAAGUGUCGCCACCGAACCUUGUAAUGGAUGGCCUCUCCACUCCUAUGUGUAUUGUAAGCGAUGGAGUUUUUUGGGACAAAAACUCCUGUUCAGCUGCUGUAGAGACACGACAGGCUGGGAGGCAUGAUCAAGUUUCUAAUUAGCUCUGUUGCUGGUGUCCCACAGCUCUGUUUCUGUUGAAAUGGUAGACGGGGUCCUUUUUUAUUUUUCUGGUGUUGCUGUAUUGUUCAAGAAAAAACCACUACCAGUUAUUCUUGGUUACGACUUCUUGGAGAUUCAGUUCUGUUAAAAAGAAUCAUGAAUGGAGAAGAACCAUCGUGUAAACGUCAGCAUCCAGUCAUAUCUAAGGGACGAGCUAUGGGGGGCAGAUCCAGGACAUGGGAUGCUAACCAUCUGCUUGGGAUGGGUUUCUUUCAAAUCAGUGAAUGGAUUGGAGCCAUUGAAGUAUUUGAAUGGAGCAUAUGUAUGCAUAUGCUGCACUUCAUCUUAGAUCAUCAAGAGAUGUCGGCUGCAGUAAUCUGCGUGCAGAAAACAAGGCACACCAGCAAAACAGAUAUAUUCUGGACAAACAAUCCAUACAAAAUAAUUAACUGAAAUAAUGUCACCUGAUGAUUUAUCUGCUAACAGGUAUAGCAGAUUUGGAGCUGGUAGCGUUGCGUAAGCACACAUCAAGUCAAACCGGACUUAAAUUGGUCAUAGCUUGGGAGGUGUGCCUUUAUGGCUUGCUUCCACGUGGAUUAGUAUUACUACUCAUCAAGAAACAAGAACCUAGGGGAGAAUGGAGCCCUCUCAGCGCUCAGGCACUCUCGACCGUCGGAUUGGCUUUUCAGUUUGUUCAAAUAAGAACGA